Molecule: ribosomal RNA, 119 nt
Organism: Erinaceus europaeus (western European hedgehog)
Lineage: Eukaryota; Metazoa; Chordata; Mammalia; Eulipotyphla; Erinaceidae
Source: Ensembl
GUCUACAGCCACACCAUCCUGAACACACCUGGUCUCAUCUGAUCUCAGAAGCUAAGCAGGGUCGGACUUUUUUAGUAUUUGAUGGGAGAAGCACAGUAAAAAAAGGGGGGGAGUGGGGC